UCAAUUACCAAGUGCUAGCUCGUGAAAAAGGAAAAGUCAAGUAUAAUGUUUAAGGAUAGGAAUUAAACAAAAGCCACUGGUAUGCAGUUGAUUAACCGCAAAGAAAUGACUUAAGUAUUCUUGUAAAUGGGGUUAUAGUAAAAGUCAUUCCUUACAGGCGUCGUUAAGCUUCGCUGUACCGUGGAUGAGUCCGUAUCUAAAUAACCUUUAUGUUGGUAUCACAUCUCUCUGUAAGAUCUAACCACCGGUGCUGGCGUUAAGUACUACAAACCACGGAUCGCAUAAAUUAGACUGAUCAACAAGUACCUUCGUCGACGUGUAGCUGUUGAGAAGCAAGUAAGUGGCGUUCACGGUGGAGAACGUGGGUACCAUGGGAAGGAUGUAGAGCGUGACGAGCAGUUAGUCGACAACAGGAAGGAGAGCAUACAACGAGGUAAUCUCCAGCUCAUCACGAGUUCAUAAGGUGAAGUUGUCCUCUGUGAAGUCGACUGAUCUUGUCCACCUCAAAGAUGAUGUCUUCGUGAACGCACCUGCCAGAAAUCCUUGAGUGCCAAACGGUCGCCUUGAAUUUUUACUCUUGCAAAAUAUUCAUGGAACUUAUAAUAUUGUCAGGUGAGACUCCUCAUAGGCAUCUUAGGACACACAGCCACAACGGCAGGAGUCUAGAUGAUGAUGAUGAUGAUGGUGAACGAACCUGGGUGUACUCAUGCCCAGAUCCAUAAUCUUGAGGAGGUAUUGCCAAUAGAGGAAACUCUAUGGAUUCCAGAGAAAAGGAUAAUAACGUCAUAAUAAAUUGUGACAAGAAAGAAAACAAGGGAUACAGAUGCAUUUUCGAGCAAAGAAAUUGGAAGUGUAUUUACAGUGUUUAUAAUGAAGGACGUAUAGGGUAGAAUAAGGAUACGAAGUUCUAGAGGGAAAUUAACGAAGGGGUCGACGUAUAUUAUUUAAAAAAAUAAGAGCUUAGUGAUAAAUUAUUUAAUAUUAAAAGUGAUAAAAUCAAAAUUUCGUGUAAUUUUCGAAUGCGAAUUAAUAUUUACAUUACUGGAAUGGAAUCACGAAACGUAUUCUAUAAAUUAAUCAUUUGGGUCUUUAAUGAUACUCGGUGAAAGCAAUUAACCCAAUCACGAUUGAACCGCUCAAUACGACAUGACCUGAAGCAGUCGUGCUUUUACUAAUAUUAUUUCAAUGAUAUAUAAAAUUGCUAUCCUUUAUCUAUUUUACUCAGAUCUGUUCUAUUGCUAAAUAACAAAGUUUCUGGUGUCUCGUUCGUUAUAAAAUGCGACUUCAAUUAAA
This is a long non-coding RNA of Cephus cinctus (wheat stem sawfly), 1293 nucleotides long. RefSeq lists it as uncharacterized. The transcript has 3 exons. Lineage: Eukaryota; Metazoa; Arthropoda; Insecta; Hymenoptera; Cephidae. The record is from RefSeq and is a predicted model, not a curated record.